CCUACGGGAGGCAGCAGUUAGGAAUCUUCCACAAUGGGCGAAAGCCUGAUGGAGCGACGCCGCGUGAGGGAUGAAGGUUUUCGGAUCGUAAACCUCUGAAUCAGGGACGAAAGACGCUUUAUGCGGGAUGACGGUACCUGAGUAAUAGCACCGGCUAACUCCGUGCCAGCAGCCGCGGUAAUACGGAGGGUGCAAGCGUUACCCGGAAUCACUGGGCGUAAAGGGCGUGUAGGCGGGAUGUUAAGUCUGGCUUUAAAGACCGGGGCUCAACCUCGGGAGUGGGCUGGAUACUGGCAUUCUUGACCUCUGGAGAGGUACUCGGAAUUUCUGGUGUAGCGGUGGAAUGCGUAGAUACCAGAAGGAACACCGAUGGCGAAGGCAGAGUACUGGACAGAAGGUGACGCUGAGGCGCGAAAGUGUGGGGAGCGAACCGGGAUUAGAUACCCGGGGUAGUCCACACCCUAAACGAUGUACGUUGGAUGACGGCAGGAUGCUGUCGUUGUCGAAGUUAACGCGAUAAACGUACCGCCUGGGAAGUACGGCCGCAGGUUGAAACGUCAAAUGAAUUGAACCGGUNUGNGAGUGCGAGCGACGACGAGGAGAGG
Molecule: ribosomal RNA, 605 nt
Filed under: uncultured bacterium
Lineage: Bacteria
Description: bacterial SSU rRNA
Rfam family: Bacterial small subunit ribosomal RNA
Source: RNAcentral